UACAGGGGGUGCAAACGUUGCUCGGAAUCAUUGGGCGUAAAGCGCACGUAGGCGGUUCGUUAUGUCGGAUGUGAAAGCCCUUGGCUUAACCGAGGAAGUGCAUCCGAAACUGGCGAGCUAGAGUACUAAAGAGGAUCGCGGAAUUCCCGGUGUAGAGGUGAAAUUCGUAGAUAUCGGGAGGAACACCGGUGGCGAAGGCGGCGAUCUGGGUAGAUACUGACGCUGAAGUGCGAAAGCGUGGGGAGCAAAACAGG
Molecule: ribosomal RNA, 254 nt
Filed under: uncultured bacterium
Lineage: Bacteria
Description: partial 16S ribosomal RNA
Rfam family: Bacterial small subunit ribosomal RNA
Source: RNAcentral